AACGUAGGGGACAAGCGUUAUCCGGAUUUACUGGGCGUAAAGCGCCCGUAGGCGGCCUGAUAAGUUGGACGUGAAAGCUCCUGGCUUAACUGGGAGAGGCCGUUCAAAACUGUCAAGCUAGAGUCUGGAAGAGGAGAGCGGAAUUCCCGGUGUAGUGGUGGAAUGCGUAGAGAUCGGGAGGAACACCAGUGGCGAAAGCGGCUCUCUGGUCCAAAACUGACGCUGAGGGGCGAAAGCGUGGGGAGCGAACGGG
This 253-nucleotide ribosomal RNA is filed under the name uncultured bacterium. RNAcentral's name for it is "partial 16S ribosomal RNA". It matches the Rfam family "Bacterial small subunit ribosomal RNA", at positions 524 to 776 of the family's 1533-position model. The record is from RNAcentral.